Molecule: long non-coding RNA, 1048 nt
Filed under: Triticum aestivum (bread wheat)
Lineage: Eukaryota; Viridiplantae; Streptophyta; Magnoliopsida; Poales; Poaceae
Description: long non-coding RNA (TAES_LNC026796)
Source: RNAcentral
UUUCAUGUCGAACCUCAAUACCUUGUGACACCUAAAGGGAAGAUGCAUGCAAAUCAUCAUGCUCUUCAAAUCCUAAAUAGCGGGGUGUUAGCAAAAGGAAAUCACAGAAAAGCUAAUGCGAAAACUAUAUACUCAUAAUUUGAUCCUUCUUGCAUAUAGUGUUCUCAUGUGAGCCACCAUAUCAAUGAGUCCAUCUGCCACUUUGUAAUAAAUAGUCUUGUUUGAUAUCUCCGCCAAAGCAUGUUCAAUAAUAUGUUUAUACUAUUUGGCUCAGCAACGAAAGAACGGAGAAAAUAAAGACAAAAUCUGCAUAUAAUAAUAAAAAAUGUGAACAUCAUUGAGAUGAGACCGAUGCACGAAAUUGUUGACAAGCAAUCUCAUACCAGAAAGCAUUGUACAUCACCUAUCAAGUGAAAAAACAGAAAUUUAGAGACCCCAUUAUGAAUUAACAGACGGGACUUACAAUCAUCAUCUUAUUGUCCAACUACAGUUAAAAAACAUCUUAUUGUAAAAUCAUGUCCAGAAAACACACAUGUAUGCUCAUUUUCUUUGACUAAGAAGUAAUACAUAUAUUCUUUCAAAAUUGGAGAUCAGAUGGACAACCUACCACACUUCUGAAUAUUCGUUGUUGUCACAAUGAGACAAUAUGAUGCUUAGGAUCCCAAUAGACCUUCAUUCAGGACAAAUAAACGCCGGCCUAAAAAAAGGACCAAUAAACUUCAAACCUAAAAAAAGCCACACAAGUAGAAAUAUUAGCGGCAAAUUACAAAACUAAAAGGCACAUCAAUGUAUGAUAAGAUAGUUUAAGAAGAUCAGAGUCAGCUCAUAGUAAAAUAGCACUGUUCAAUAUAUCGAACAUGUUAAGCUGAAAGAGAUCAUCUGAAUAUUGAUCGUAGUUGCAUCAUCUUUCAAAGCAUCAUGAUGCAAUGAUACAAUGGUAGAAAAAUCUAUUAGGGCAACUUCUUAUUCUGAAUCUCUGUAACAGAAGAAAGGAAACAUUGACAUGUCAAAACGGAAAAGGCAGUACUAAACAAAUUCAUAUACCUAU